RNAcentral lists this ribosomal RNA (427 nucleotides) under uncultured Lysinibacillus sp. RNAcentral describes it as "bacterial SSU rRNA". It matches the Rfam family "Bacterial small subunit ribosomal RNA", at positions 356 to 774 of the family's 1533-position model. Lineage: Bacteria; Bacillati; Bacillota; Bacilli; Caryophanales; Bacillaceae. The record is from RNAcentral.
AGGGAAUCUUCCACAAUGGACGGAAGUCUGAUGGAGCAACGCCGCGUGAGUGAUGAAGGUUUUCGGAUCGUAAAACUCUGUUGUAAGGGAAGAACAAGUACAGUAGUAACUGGCUGUACCUUGACGGUACCUUAUUAGAAAGCCACGGCUAACUACGUGCCAGCAGCCGCGGUGAAUACGUAGGUGGCAAGCGUUGUCCGGAAUUAUUGGGCGUAAAGCGCGCGCAGGUGGUUUCUUAAGUCUGAUGUGAAAGCCCACGGCUCAACCGUGGAGGGUCAUUGGAAACUGGGAGACUUGAGUGCAGAAGAGGAUAGUGGAAUUCCAAGUGUAGCGGUGAAAUGCGUAGAGAUUUGGAGGAACACCAGUGGCGAAGGCGACCACCUGGACUGAUACUGACACUGAGGUGCGAAAGCGUGGGGAGCAAACA